GAUGAACGCUGGCGGCGUGCCUAAUACAUGCAAGUCGAGCGAACAGAUAAGGAGCUUGCUCCUUUGACGUUAGCGGCGGACGGGUGAGUAACACGUGGGUAACCUACCUAUAAGACUGGGAUAACUUCGGGAAACCGGAGCUAAUACCGGAUAAUAUUUCGAACCGCAUGGUUCGAUAGUGAAAGAUGGUUUUGCUAUCACUUAUAGAUGGACCCGCGCCGUAUUAGCUAAUUGGUAAGGUAACGGCUUACCAAGGCGACGAUACGUAGCCGACCUGAGAGGGUGAUCGGCCACACUGGAACUGAGACACGGUCCAGACUCCUACGGGAGGCAGCAGUAGGGAAUCUUCCGCAAUGGGCGAAAGCCUGACGGAGCAACGCCGCGUGAGUGAUGAAGGUCUUCGGAUCGUAAAACUCUGUUAUUAGGGAAGAACAUACGUGUAAGUAACUGUGCACGUCUUGACGGUACCUAAUCAGAAAGCCACGGCUAACUACGUG
This 497-nucleotide ribosomal RNA is filed under the name uncultured bacterium. RNAcentral describes it as "partial 16S ribosomal RNA". It matches the Rfam family "Bacterial small subunit ribosomal RNA", at positions 28 to 507 of the family's 1533-position model. The record is from RNAcentral.